Small nucleolar RNA from Apodemus sylvaticus (European woodmouse), 146 nucleotides. RefSeq annotates it as small nucleolar RNA SNORA48. Lineage: Eukaryota; Metazoa; Chordata; Mammalia; Rodentia; Muridae. The transcript has a single exon. The record is from RefSeq and is a predicted model, not a curated record.
AGUCCAUUUGGCAAUGGACAAAGAGACACCUUGGUGGUGGCAGUGGUCUUAUAUCAGUCAGGGGCAGAGCAGAAUGUAGUUCUUUGUUCAUACCAGCUUGAUGCCUGGCUUGGUGGGCAAAACUGUCUUAUAUCUAGAUCUCAUAA